This 547-nucleotide ribosomal RNA is filed under the name uncultured Nesterenkonia sp. Its description in RNAcentral is "bacterial SSU rRNA". It matches the Rfam family "Bacterial small subunit ribosomal RNA", at positions 462 to 1003 of the family's 1533-position model. The record is from RNAcentral. Lineage: Bacteria; Bacillati; Actinomycetota; Actinomycetes; Micrococcales; Micrococcaceae.
AGCGAAAGUGACGGUACCUGCAGAAGAAGCGCCGGCUAACUACGUGCCAGCAGCCGCGGUAAUACGUAGGGCGCGAGCGUUAUCCGGAAUUAUUGGGCGUAAAGAGCUCGUAGGCGGUUUGUCACGUCUGCUGUGAAAGCCCGGGGCUCAACCCCGGGUGUGCAGUGGGUACGGGCAGACUAGAGUGCAGUAGGGGAGACUGGAAUUCCUGGUGUAGCGGUGAAAUGCGCAGAUAUCAGGAGGAACACCGAUGGCGAAGGCAGGUCUCUGGGCUGUUACUGACGCUGAGGAGCGAAAGCAUGGGGAGCGAACAGGAUUAGAUACCCUGGUAGUCCAUGCCGUAAACGUUGGGCACUAGGUGUGGGGGACAUUCCACGUUUUCCGCGCCGUAGCUAACGCAUUAACGUGCCCCGCCUGGGGAGUACGGGCCGCAAAGGCUAAAACUCAAAGGAAUUGACGGGGGCCCGCACAAGCGGCGGAGCAUGCGGAUUAAUUCGAUGCAACGCGAAGAACCUUACAAGGCUUGACAUGGACCGGACGCUGACCG